This 459-nucleotide ribosomal RNA is filed under the name uncultured bacterium. RNAcentral describes it as "partial 16S ribosomal RNA". It matches the Rfam family "Bacterial small subunit ribosomal RNA", at positions 28 to 507 of the family's 1533-position model. The record is from RNAcentral.
GAUGAACGCUGGCGGCGCGCCUAACACAUGCAAGUCGAACGGCACCCCUCCUCGGAGGGAAGCGAGUGGCGAACGGCUGAGUAACACGUGGAGAACCUGCCCCCUCCCCCGGGAUGGCCGCCCGAAAGGACGGGUAAUACCGGAUACCCCGGGGUGCCGCAUGGCACCCCGGCUAAAGCCCCGACGGGAGGGGAUGGCUCCGCGGCCCAUCAGGUAGACGGCGGGGUGACGGCCCACCGUGCCGACAACGGGUAGCCGGGUUGAGAGACCGACCGGCCAGAUUGGGACUGAGACACGGCCCAGACUCCUACGGGAGGCAGCAGUGGGGAAUCUUGCGCAAUGGGGGGAACCCUGACGCAGCGACGCCGCGUGCGGGACGGAGGCCUUCGGGUCGUAAACCGCUUUCAGCAGGGAAGAGUCAAGACUGUACCUGCAGAAGAAGCCCCGGCUAACUACGUG